GGAAGGUAACGGCGCUCCAUGCAGUCAUGCCAGCCACAUGACCUUGGAGGUGUCUACGGACAACGCCGGCUCUUCAGCUUAGAAAUGGAGAUGUCAGACAUGACUGGACUUAACGUCAGGGGAAACCUUUACCUUUACUAAUCCCAUCUUCUCCAGGAGCCCCAUGGCAGACCCCUGACUCAGGUAUAUUGCAGACUUAACUCCAUCCUCUCCAGUACCCAAUAAGUCUGGCUCUCUUGAUCUGUUUUCCCAAGACUUUUGCUUCUUUCAUCCUUGUACUGUUCUUCAGGAAUGAUAUGAAACAAACCGUCAAACAUUACAAAUCACUUUUGGUCAAACUGAUCCGGACCCAAGCCUAAUUCACUCUUUCAUGGGUGAAUUUCUCUCACUGUUGUCUCACCCCCAUUCUCAUGUUUAGUAAGUUUUUUUCUGUUUCUGGUAGAAUCCUUCAGAAAUUAAUUUGUAUUGGGAAUGUCUUCUCCUCCUGCAAAUAAGUAUAUAUCUUACUACCCAGGUAUAUAAUGUUAUUAAAUCAAUGGACAUGAUGUAGAGCAUAGAGCCAGGUAUUCCUUUUUUUUUUUUUUUUUUUGCAUAAGGUGAAGGAAAGCAACCUGCAUUUGAAGAUUAACAUGCAUGUAUGUACGUGUGUGUAUUCCCUGGGCGAUCUGUUAGAAGGAGCACUUGCACAUGCCUUCCCUCUCUCUCUUGACAAAAAAGUCUCACCCCCAUUCUUAACUAGGAAUCGUUUGUAAGUCAGAUGUUAGUAACUCAGGGACUACCUCUAUAACCUGCAUUUCUCAUCAAAAGUGCAGGAACUUUGUGAAGACAUUAAGGAGUCCACUCAGGGUAAUUAUUGAUUUUCAUGUCCAUGUGCACAUGUGCUAAAGAGCUAAACAAUCACUACGUUAGCGAAGAUUGAAAUAGGUCAUGGAGACCAUCUUGCAUCAUUUUAUUAAGCAUCUGCAUGCAUCUUUUUUCUUAAAUUUACAUAUUUUAAGGUAAAGGUUUUCCCCUGAUAUUAAGUCCAGUCGUGUCUGAUUCUGGGGAUUAGUGCUCAUCUCCAUUUCUAAGCUAAAGAGCCGGCAUUGUCCGUAGAUGCCUCCAAGGUCAUGUGGCCGGUAUGACUGCAUGGAGUGCCGUUACAUAUACCUUGCCAUUUUUAAUUCUUGUUAAGCAUUCCUGAGGGGGUAAUGAAUGCAAAAUAUCUUGCAUUUUAAUGAAAAAUUAUUUCUAUCUUUCUUGAUGCAUGCAAUCUACUCAGAAGUAGACUCUUUGAGUUCAAAUAGGUAUACAAACCAGGCUUAUGUAUUUGCAUUUAUCCAUUUGCUCCUGCUGAUAUGAGAAAGCUAAUUAGGGGUAGUUCAUUUUCUAUUUCAGGCUGAGAAUGACACGACUAAUUGAGUUAAUUAGGGUAAAGAAUACAAUGACUGCAAAACAUAAGUGGGCCAUCCAUUUUUGUUUACCUUGUCUGAAAAUAAAAUAAUAUAAAAUAUACAUUUGGAAGCUCAACAUGCAGUCACUGAAUAAGAUCUCUUUAAAAUUCUGGAGAUAAAUUGUGUCUUAAAGAUCUCAUAAAAUAAGUAUUAAAUGCAGGAUGAAAAAAGUAUUUGUGCAUUACAUGAUGAUUAUAGAGAUAAUUUACUUUGCUAAUACAUUUUCCCUCCAAAACAACAUUAUAUUUAGAAGAUCAUUUAUAAUAAUGUUUAUCUAUCUAGUGUUAAACUGGGCAUGACAUAGCUAGCCUUGCUAGACUGUAACAUUGCAAAACAGUUUCCCAGAAUUGUUUAGGAAUACCGAAGCAGCGUGAUACUGUUUUUUUCUUAUGAAUUAAACAGAUUCCUAGAUAUAGUGAUACUAGGAUAUAGAAAGUUAAAAGGUUUUCCCCUGACGUUAAAUCCAGUCGUGACCGACUCUGGGGGUUGGUGCUCAUCUCCAUUUCUAAGUCGAAGAGCCGGCAUUGUCCGUAGACACCUCCAAGGUCAUGUGGCCGGCAUGACUUCAUGGAGCGCCGUUAUCUUCCCACCAGAGCAGUACCUAUUGAUUUACUCACAUUUGCAUGUUUUUGAACUGCUAGGUUGGUAGAAGAAGGAUAUAGAUAUACAGUAGAGUGUCACUUAUCCAACACUCACUUAUCCAACGUUCUGGAUCAUCCAAUGUAUUUUUGUAGUCAGUGUUUUCGAUGCAUUGUGAUAUUUUGAUGCUAAAUUCGUAAAUACAGUAAUUACUACAUAGCAUUAAUGUGUAAUGAACUACGUUUUCUGUCAAAUUUGUUGUAUAACAUGAUGUUUUGGUGGUUAAUUUGUAAAAUCAUAAUCUAUUUUGAUGUUUAAUAGGCUUUUUCUUAAUCUCUCCUUAUUAUCCAACAUAUUCACUUAUCUAACAUUCUGCCGGCUCGUUUAUGUUGGAUAAGUGAGACUCUACUGUAUAUAGAUAUAUAGAAAGCUGCUUAUAUAUUGAUCUCUGACUUGUCUAGGUUACAGCUAGAGCUGGCAUGGGCAAACUUCAGCCCUCCAGGUGUUUUGGACUUCACCUCCCACAAUUCCCUUACAACAAUGCUUGCAGCCCGGAAAACUCACAGCAAACAUUACAAGGUUGGAACUUAUUUUCUACUUUAAAAAAUGAUAUUUUUCACGGCAAAAACAAGAAUCUAGUCCAGAAACAAAAAUGGAUUCUUACAUAGAAAAGUCUUAGGAUCUUUUCACAUGGGACAUUUUUGCCCCGUUUUGCCACUUUUAUGUGUGGCUUGGAUAGGGCCUGCCAUACAAGAUCACACGACAUAUGGCAGGUCCCACCCACAUUCCUCGCAAAGUGGAGGGAAAGCACUGGAAAGUGCUUCCUCCACCACUACGAGGAGGAAAGAGUAUUUUGGGUAGCUCCAAUAGAACUACCUGCACUUUCCUCCCCUUUUUGCCAUAUGAAGGCAGAAAGUUGGCAGGGCAAUGCAUGUUGCUGCACAUUGCUGUUUUUUUUUUUUGCCAUUUGAUGGGGGGAAACCCUGCUCCAUCCCCACCAUGUGAUGAGGGAAGGAAGGAGAGUGUGCGGGGAGCCACGAGCCAUCCUGCAAGCCUUCCCUUUAUUGGUGCAAUGGCAUGGCCUGACAAGGCCAUGUGAAGUGUUCUCUAAGCUAUGUAUGUGUGGGGCUUAUUCCUUUUUUCACACACCUACACUCUGGAAAACCCUUUUCAACCUUUGAUCAAAUAUUUUCAAAUAUCCUUUACAGUGGUUCAUUUGUAAUCACAAAUUCAUUGACAAAAGGAAAUGUAAAAAGUAUAAUACGAGUUUUAUGUAAUUUUAUAUCAAACAUCAUCUGAUCCCAUUCGUCAUAUUCCUAGGAACAAGGUAAAAUAUUGGUUCUAGACCUAGUCAUGCUUAGAAUAGACCAAUAAAGCCAUUGUCCUCCCAACCCUGUUCUACACCUGCGAAACAUGGACGGUCUACAGAUUUCACACCUAACUCCUGGAGCAUUUCCAUCAGCGUUUCCUCAGAAAAAUCCUGCAAAUUUCUUGGGAAGACAGGCGGACAAAUGUCAGCAUGCUUGCGGAAGCGAAGACCACCAGCAUUGAAGCGAUGCUCCAACGCCAUCAACUUCGCUGGACUGGCCACAUUGUCCGAAUGCCCGAUCACCAUCUCCCAAAGCAGUUGCUCUACUCUGAACUCAAGAACGGGAAACAUAAUGUUGGUGGGCAGGAAAAAAGAUUUAAAGAUGGGCUUAAAGCCAAACUUAAAAACUGUGGCAUAGACACUGAGAACUGGGAAGCCCUGGCCCUUGAGUGCUCUAAUUGGAGGUCAGCUGUGACCAGCAGUGCUGUGGAGUUCGAAGAGGCACGAAUGGAGGGCUUAAGGGAGAAACGUGCCAAGAGGAAGGCCCGUCAAGCCAACCCUGACCGGGACCACCUUCCACCUGGAAACCGAUGUUCUCACUGCGGGAGAACAUGCAGAUCAAGAAUAGGUCUCUUCAGCUAUCUAUGGAUCUAUCCCCAAGACAGCGAAGACAGAGGACCAUCAUCCUCGAACUACGAGGGAUCGCCUAAGUAAGUAGUAAGACUAAUAACAUCAAUGGACCAGUCUGUCAUAAUAGAUUACUGUAUAUACUCGAAUAUAAGCCAACCCAAAUAUAAUCUGCGGCAUCUAAUUUUACCACAAAAAAACUGGGAAAUCAUUGACUCAUGUAUAAGCCGAGGGUGGGAAAUUUCAGAAAUAAAAAUAGAUACCAAAAAAUUACAUUAAUUGAGGUAUCAGUAGGUUAAAUGUUUUUGAAUAUUUACAUCAAGCUCCAAUUUAAGAUAAGACUGUCGAACUCUGAUUAAAUCAUUAUUCUCAUCUUCUUCGAUGUAAAUGUGCUUAUGUAUCCUUUUAAUAAUAAUAGAGUAAAAUAAUACAUGUAAUAAUAAUAAUAAAUACAGGAAAAUAAUACAUGUAAUAAUAAAUAGAGUAGAAUAAUAAAUGUAAUAAUAAUAAGAUCAGAGUGAAAUAAUAAAUGUAUUAUUAUUAAUAAUAAUAAAAAUAGAAUAAAAUAAAUGUAAUAGUAGCAACAAUAAUAGAGUACAAUAAUAAAUGUAAUAAUAAUAGAGUAAAAUAAUAAAUGUAAUAAUACCAAUAAGAAUAGAGAAAAAAAAUAAAUGUACCAUAUAUUCUCGAGUAUAAGUUGACCCCAAAAUAAGCCAACCAGGAUCCACACCCGAGUAUAAGCCGAGGGGGGGCUUUUUUAGUCCUAAAAAAGGGCUGAAAAACUAGGCUUAUACUCGAGUAUAUAGAGUAAAUCCUUUUGAUUUCAAAGGCUUUAUUGUAAAGCUGAAUUAAAUCUGGAUCCAAUCCUCCAUACAGAGCGAAAAUAGGCAUUGGCAAUCUAUUCUUAAUCUAUGCUCCCCAUAGCCUUUUAAGAACUGUAGCUUGGAAGUAUCGCAAAUAGUGAGCAAAUAUUCUUAAAAUUAAUCUGUAAUAUGUCUUACCUUUCUUUGCAGUUUGUGUGUGUGUAGAUAUACACAUGUAUAUUAUUUUUAUGUAUUUGCACACUGCACACACAGAGACACAGACACAUAUUUCUACCCUUGAGGCUUUAAGAAUACUUUCAGAACUUUAUAAUUAGUGUUUGUGGAAAUUUUACGUUACUCUUAUAAAACCUCUCAUUAGCAGUGCACAUUCAUUGCUUUAUUUAUUAAUUUACUUGCUUACUUUUAUUUAUUAAAUUAUUUUGAUGCUUCACAGCUUGAUACAUUUUUAGCAAGUUCUAGACUUUACCUCUGAGGCCUAUGCUGACAUAAGCUCCAUUAACAUGAGCAGCUCUCCCAGUAACUGCACUUUUGAAGCCCGAGGUUAUCAUUUUCUUCCACUUGCUAAUGAGGUGAACCGGGGGAAGAAAGGAAGAGAAAGAGUUUCCUUAAUUGAUAAUUUUCUAGCUGACAGUCAUUGAGAGUCCCCAAUGGAAGAUUCAGAUAGAAAAGAUGCAGACAAGAACUCCUUUUUAAAAAGGAUAAUAAAUUCAAUUAAAAAGAGCUGUUUUUAAUGGCUGUGAGAUGGCACCUCUUGAAGCAGCUAUCAAAGAAGAAAUUAUGCAACAAAUCCUUGUCAAAUGGUUUAGAACACACGGAUGACAUGUACUGCUAUGUUUUAGAUGUUACUUUCUCUCUCCUCCAUUCCUUCUCUCAUUUCCAAUGUGCUGUGUUUUCAGACAACAGGAGAGAUAUGCUAGAAAGAUGGGGUUCUUUGACAUAAGCACUCUGCCCCACAGUGACUUCAGUAAAACCUCAGCAACCGCUUCUGGAGAAGGGCAUUUUGAGAGAGGGUCCUGAGUACACAAACCUUUCUCUCCUCAUGUUUCUCUCACUAAAAAGAUUUAUUUGAAAGUUGAUGAGGUUUUAUUUUUUAACUAUGACACAAGAUAGCUAGAAACCUGGUACCAUGGAGACAACUCUGCCUGGAAACACAUGUCAUUCGAUGUGGCCACUCUAUAGCUUCAGUCUCCAUGGAGAAACUGGAACUCUUCUGGGUAUAUUUUGUUAGAUGUUAGAAGUUCAUUUGAAUCAGUUGUGCCACUAGUGUGUGUAGAAGGGGGAGACACCGAUAGUUACAAGUUAUAGCCAGAAAACCUGGAUUUCCAUUGCUCCCAGUACAUCAAUCUACACUACUGCAUUCAUGUAAAAUAUUUAACUCCUAAAGUUGGAAGAGCUCCCAAGGGCCAUCAAGUUCAAUCUGCUACUAUGCAGAAAAACACCAUCAAAACCCCCCUGAUAAAUAGUUAUCCAGACUGUUUAAAAAAACCCAAAGAAGGCAUCACCACCAUAUUCCCAGGAAGCAUAUUCCACUGUCAAGCAGCUCUUACCAUCAGGAAGCUCUUUCUAAUGUUUAGGUGGAAUCUCUUUUCAUGUAGUUUGAAUCCAUGAAGCUUGAAACUUGCUCCAGUAAGAUUUAAUAGCUUCUGUGUUUCUGCACCAGUAAAUCUGCUCUAGAAGUCAACCUGAACGUUCAAAAGGUACUACUACAUGCUCAAACUAUUUGGGAGAAAGAGUUCAGCAUCUUGAAUAGUUCCAAUAAGAUUUGGGCUAAAACUUGAAAUAGAUUAUCCAGCACCAGCACGCCCGACAAUAGCCAUCAGCUUCUCGGCUCUCCACACAAUUGAAUGAGGCCAGUACCUAUGAUUUAGGUCAAGGCUUUUUAUAAGACCUUGACAAAAUAUGCAAAUUUAUUUUUCAGUUUAGGUGAAAUGCAGUAGAAAAUGACAAAUGUGACAGUCUCUAGACAGCUAGGUGGAGGAGCUGCCUCAUUGACACUUACACUGACUGGCUUUCUCAGUCCCAAAUUGCUUUAAAAUCAUUAUAGAAUGGUGCAUCAUUCUGCCAACCUUGUGUCCAGCCUGCUUGUAUUGCAAGGUAUGAACAUUCAUGGUUGAAACAAGAGUACCUAAAAGUUUUAGCCACUUCAACCACUGAGAAUCAAAGUUGCUUUUACAUUUACUUUUGCCUUCCAGGUUCUCAGUCAAACUUCCUAAUUUGUCCAAUAUUAGCUUUCCAUUUGACUCCAGAUUCUCUGUGUGUCUGCAUAGCAAUGAUUGAUCCUAUCAACAAUUCUGGUUUUUUUUUAUCAUUGUGCUGCUGCAUAACUACUUGCUAUAAUGCAAUUGAAAGGCCUACCCACAUUCAUGGCCAGCAUAGCUGGCUUUUCAUAUGUGGAAUUGCCACUUAGGCUUAAUAUGUCUUGCCCUCCGGUCUUCUCAUGAAAAUGCAUCAAGAACAGAUUGCCCACUACUGAUAUGCCAAAAUCUUGUAUCUCUGAUAGAACACGCUGCUUUAUUGCUGACUACAUGCAGUGAUGUCCUGUGGCUUGCAUCAUAAUUCUAGUUCAUAGUAAGACAUCUAUGUAUCAGUACCUACAUAAAAUAAAAAGAGAUUCAUCUGAUUAUGAUCCAAGACUAAAAUGCAUAGCUGACUCCCUCUGAAAUCCGCAGGUUUAAGCAUAUUAAGAACAUGGUUUUAAGCAAGCAAUGGGUGGAGGCAUUGUUUUGAAGUAUUAUUAGUUUCCUUGGUUAGCAUUUCAAAUUAUUGUAAAAAAGCUUAGAAGGUUUUUACUUUUUUAAUGCCCAUCAGAUCUUAAAACCAUCUGCAAACUCAAUUUCUUCUACAGGUCAGCUUAACUUUGAAUACUGUGAAAAUCUAUUAAUACAGGAAAGAUUUCAUGGAAAUUAAUGAGGAGUAUGAACAUGAAAAGGCCUAAAUUAUUAAAAUAAGGCAGAUCUUAAGGUUUCUGUUUGAAUUUUCCAGGCGUCUACUGCAUAUGCUUUGGAUGUCCCUUAUGAAUUUUGAUUUAUUUCUCAUAGUUGUAGAAGACAGUCAUUUGCUGAGAAAAGAUAGUGGGCAGACAGAAUAAACCGAAUGGAACUUAGAAAUUGUAGCUAAAAAGAAAAGAAAAGAAAAAAGAAAAGAAAUUGUAUCUGAAACUUUCUAUAAUAUUUUGAUGCAGUAGUUCUAUAUACCUUCAUUCAUCUGUAUUUUAUUACAUAUCUGUAUUUGGAUUGUUAAGAGUAAUGUGACUUUUUAGUCACCUUGUGAAUAAUCAUUUGAACACAUGAAGUAAAACAGGCAAUUUAUUGAAUUGAAUCAAUAUCAUAGGUGGUUCUCAUGCUGAACUUUGGAGUUUAGCAGCCACGAUAAUUGGAAAUCGAUAUUCUGCUGCAUUUUAGCAACUGAACAUGAAAAAUCACACUGUGACUACAUCUUUAUUGUAGCUGUUCAUUUCUUUUUGUGUUUCUUGUCAGGCAACAAAAAUAACUACCAUGUUUAAAACUUCCCUUUCAAUCAUCUUGAAGCUUGCUCUACCUUAGUUCAAAAAGACCGAAGACCAAUAAUUUUGUUUGCUACUUAAAAUAUUUUCUCAAUUAUGAAAGAGCACUACAUUAAUCAACAUUAAUGAAGCUUUCAUUAACCACUAGUUUCAAGUGUAACCACCAAUGUUAUUUUACAUAUUCUUUUUUAUCCAGGAUCAAACCUCUUGACAACAAUAUAACAAUAUGUGUAUUGUUAUUUAAAGUCAUGUUAAUAGGAACCAGAGACUAAAUCAAAAUCUUACUCACAACUAGAGUGGAUCCACUAAAUGAAUGGUACUUGUCAGUGUGCUGCAAAUGGAAACCACCUCUAUGUUGAAAUUAUCCUUCUACAACAUGUCCUACUUGAAACACACAAUACCAAGUUCACUUUCCAAAUCAGGAGGACUUGAUUGUGGAUGUACAGAGGUUAAGCAAAAGCUUCUCUCUCCCACUUCCACCCUUGUAGUACCUCUGAAUGGAUGUAAACUCUGCUCUGGGGUUCAAAAUAUAUGUAUGUAAACAGUU
Anolis carolinensis (green anole) is the source of this 8821-nucleotide long non-coding RNA. RefSeq lists it as uncharacterized. The transcript is spliced from 3 exons. NCBI's taxonomy places the organism in Eukaryota, Metazoa, Chordata, Lepidosauria, Squamata, Anolidae. The record is from RefSeq and is a predicted model, not a curated record.